RNAcentral lists this ribosomal RNA (755 nucleotides) under Jesmurraya novozelandica. RNAcentral's name for it is "mitochondrial SSU rRNA". It matches the Rfam family "Bacterial small subunit ribosomal RNA", at positions 352 to 1215 of the family's 1533-position model. Lineage: Eukaryota; Fungi; Ascomycota; Lecanoromycetes; Teloschistales; Teloschistaceae. The record is from RNAcentral.
CUUGGGGGAAUCGAUAGCAAUUGCUAUUAGCACUAAAAAUUUUAGUGUAAAAUCGACUUGGAAAAAAAUUCAGGGCAGAAUUAUGAUAAUGACAUUAUCUGUCCAACAGGCUUGACCAAAUCACGUGCCAGCAGUCGCGGUAAUACGUUAAAGACAAGUGUUAUUCAUCUUUAUUGGGUUUAAAGGGUACUUAGACAGCGAAUCAAGCCUCUAUAAAUGUACUAGUUUGCUAGAGUUUUAUGGGGAAGAGUAUUAAAGUACUACUGGUGGAGAGAUGAAAUUCUGUCAUACCUUAGAUGGCACAGAUUAUGGUGAAGGCAUCUUUUUAUGUAAAAACUGACGUUGAAGGACGAAGGCUUUGUGUCUCAAAGAGGAUUAGUUACCCUAGUAGUCUAAGCAGAAAAUGAUGAAUGUCAUAGAUUAGAUUUAAUUUGAUCUAUAAAUGAAAGUGUAAGCAUUCCACCUCAAGAGUAAUUUGGCAACAUUGGAACUGAAAUCAUUAGACCGUUUCUGAAACCAGUAGUGAUGUAUGUUGUUUAAUUUGAUAACCCGCAAAAAACCUUACCACAACUUGAAUAGAUAUUUUAUAUCAUACAGGCGUUGCACGGCUGUUUUUAGUUAAUGUCGUAAGAUUUUGGUUCGUUCCAUAAAUUAACGUAAACCCUUACUUUAUUUUUAUAUGGAGUAGUUCACCGCUAGAUUGGAUGUGAUAAGAGGGAUCAAGACAAGUUAUCGUGACCUAAAUACUGUGGGCA